AUUGAACGCUGGCGGCAGGCCUAACACAUGCAAGUCGAGCGGAUGAAGGGAGCUUGCUCCUGGAUUCAGCGGCGGACGGGUGAGUAAUGCCUAGGAAUCUGCCUGGUAGUGGGGGAUAACGUCCGGAAACGGGCGCUAAUACCGCAUACGUCCUGAGGGAGAAAGUGGGGGAUCUUCGGACCUCACGCUAUCAGAUGAGCCUAGGUCGGAUUAGCUAGUUGGUGGGGUAAAGGCCUACCAAGGCGACGAUCCGUAACUGGUCUGAGAGGAUGAUCAGUCACACUGGAACUGAGACACGGUCCAUACUCCUACGGGAGGCAGCAGUGGGGAAUAUUGGACAAUGGGCGAAAGCCUGAUCCAGCCAUGCCGCGUGUGUGAAGAAGGUCUUCGGAUUGUGAAGCACUUUAAGUUGGGAGGAAGGGCGGUAAGUUAAUACCUUGCUGUUUUGACGUUACCAACAGAAUAAGCACCGGCUAACUUCGUG
This 484-nucleotide ribosomal RNA is filed under the name uncultured bacterium. RNAcentral describes it as "partial 16S ribosomal RNA". It matches the Rfam family "Bacterial small subunit ribosomal RNA", at positions 30 to 507 of the family's 1533-position model. The record is from RNAcentral.